This 440-nucleotide ribosomal RNA is filed under the name uncultured bacterium. Its description in RNAcentral is "partial 16S ribosomal RNA". It matches the Rfam family "Bacterial small subunit ribosomal RNA", at positions 338 to 795 of the family's 1533-position model. The record is from RNAcentral.
CCUACGGGAGGCAGCAGUGGGGGAUAUUGCACAAUGGGGGAAACCCUGAUGCAGUGACGCCGCGUGUGGGAAGACGGUCCUCUGGAUUGUAAACCACUGUCCCCAGGGACGAAGAUGACGGUACCUGGGGAGGAAGCUCCGGCUAACUACGUGCCAGCAGCCGCGGUAAUACGUAGGGAGCGAGCGUUGUCCGGAAUUACUGGGUGAAAAGGGAGCGUAGGCGGGACUGCAAGUUGGGUGUCAAAUCUACCGGCUCAACCGGUAGCCGCACUCAAAACUGCAGUUCUUGAGUGAAGUAGAGGCAGGCGGAAUUCCUAGUGUAGCGGUGAAAUGCGUAGAUAUUAGGAGGAACACCAGUGGCGAAGGCGGCCUGCUGGGCUUUUACUGACGCUGAGGCUCGAAAGUGUGGGGAGCAAACAGGAUUAGAUACCCGGGUAGUC